Molecule: ribosomal RNA, 120 nt
Filed under: uncultured bacterium
Lineage: Bacteria
Description: partial 16S ribosomal RNA
Rfam family: Bacterial small subunit ribosomal RNA
Source: RNAcentral
AACGAACGCUGGCGGCAUGCUUAACACAUGCAAGUCGCACGGGAACCUGGGGCUUGCUCCAGGGGAGAGUGGCGCACGGGUGCAUAACACGUAGGUAAUGUUCCCGUUGGUUUGGAAUAA